This 465-nucleotide ribosomal RNA is filed under the name uncultured bacterium. Its description in RNAcentral is "bacterial SSU rRNA". It matches the Rfam family "Bacterial small subunit ribosomal RNA", at positions 29 to 506 of the family's 1533-position model. The record is from RNAcentral.
GUGAACGCUGGCGGCGUGCUUAACACAUGCAAGUCGAACGGUAACAGGAAGUAGCUUGCUACUUUGCUUACGAGUGGCGCACGGGUGAGUAAUAUAUAGUUAAUGUGCCUCGAAGACUGGGAUAGCCACUGGAAACGGUGAUUACUACUAGAUACACCUUUUUAACAUAAGUUAAAUCGUGAAAUGUCUUUUCGCUUCGAGAUCAGACUAUAUCCUAUCAGUUAGUUGGUGAGGUAAUGGCUCACCAAGGCAAUGACGGGUAGCGGUUCUGAGGGGAGGAUCCGCAACACUGGUACUGAGACACGGACCAGACUCCUACGGGAGGCAGCAGUGAGGAAUAUGGCACAAUGGGGGGAACCCGGAUGCAGCAACGCCGCGUGGAGGAUGACGCAUUUCGGUGUGUAAACGCCUUUUAUAGGGCAAGAAAAUGACGGUAGCAUAUGAAUAAGCACCGGCUAACUCCGU